Molecule: ribosomal RNA, 442 nt
Filed under: uncultured bacterium
Lineage: Bacteria
Description: partial 16S ribosomal RNA
Rfam family: Bacterial small subunit ribosomal RNA
Source: RNAcentral
AUGAACGCUGGCGGCAUGCCUAACACAUGCCAGUCGAUCGGUAAGGCUCUUCGGAGUACACGAGAGGCGGACGGCUGAGUAACGCGUAGGAACACACCCUGCAGUGAGGGAUAAGACACCGAAAGGUGUUCUAAUACCGCAUACGGUCUUCGGAUUAAAGCAUUUAUGCGCUGAAGGAGUGGCCUGCGUCAUAUUAGAUAGUUGGUGAGGUAAUGGCUCACCAAGUCGAUGAUGUGUAGCUGGUCUGAGAGGAUGAUCAGCCAGACUGGAACUGAGACACGGUCCAGACUCCUACGGGAGGCAGCAGUGAGGAAUAUUUCACAAUGAGCGAAAGCUUGAUGGAGCAAUGCCGCGUGCAGGAUGAAGGCCCUCGGGUUGUAAACUGCUUUUAUAAGAGAAGAUUAUGACGGUAACUUAUGAAUAAGGGACGGCUAACUACGUG